Molecule: ribosomal RNA, 512 nt
Filed under: uncultured bacterium
Lineage: Bacteria
Description: bacterial SSU rRNA
Rfam family: Bacterial small subunit ribosomal RNA
Source: RNAcentral
AGUGAACGCUGGCGGCGUGCCUAACACAUGCAAGUCGAACGGGCUAGUGCUUCGCACUAGUCUCUUUCUGGGGUUGUUACUCUAAGGCUACCUGCUAAAGUUAUUGCUUUAAAGCAGGGGUUUUAGGAGACUUUCCCCGAAAGGGCCAGUGCGGAGCACUGGCCAGUGGCGAACGGGUGAGUAACACGUGGGUAAUCUACCCUCGAGUGGGGAAUAAGCUUCCGAAAGGGGGUCUAAUGCCGCAUAACGUUUCAUAACGAUGGUUAUGAACCAAAGCCCAAAAGGCGCUCGAGGAGGAGCCUGCGUCCUAUCAGCUUGUUGGCAGGGUAAUGGCCUACCAAGGCUAUGACGGGUAGCCGGCCUGAGAGGGUGUCCGGCCACACUGGAACUGAGACACGGUCCAGACUCCUACGGAGGCAGCAGUGGGGAAUUUUGCGCAAUGGGGAAACCCUGACGCAGCGACGCCGCGUGGAGGAUGACGGCCUGGUGUAUACUUCUGAGACGAAGUACCG